Molecule: long non-coding RNA, 1740 nt
Filed under: Homo sapiens (human)
Lineage: Eukaryota; Metazoa; Chordata; Mammalia; Primates; Hominidae
Description: HSALNT0253836
Source: RNAcentral
AGGGAACCCCUUCCUCAAUCCAAAUCCUGUAUGGAGAUCCAGCCUGGAUACCGACAGAUGGGUGUGCCGGGGGCACUGGAGCGCCACCCCUGAUCUUCCUGGUCUUUCUGCACCCCCAGGCACCUGCGAGGGCCUCGUCCUGAGCCUGGAGCCCAGCAGGACCCUCUUGGAUGGUUCCCCUGCUGUCUCCUGGAGCCAGAAGCGCCCGUUCUCAAUGCUGCUGUCUCUUCUGCACCAGAUCAACAGUCAGAGGUCCUCCAGUAGCGUCGGGCGUCCGUGCAGGAAAAGGACAGCCGAAGGGUUCAUCAAAACCAAAAACGAAUGCGUUUUACACGUGAUGUCGCCUGCAGAUAGCAGGCUUUCCUGGGACAUGAGACCAGGGAAGCCACUGGAAGGAUCGGAAACCACACAAUUCCAAGUGCGGUACGUUCUGCCUGUCGGAGACUGUGACAUCUGGAUAGUUGGGUGGCCAGGGCAGCACCUGGGCAGGAGGACCUGGCUGGGCAGGCCGAGUGCUGGUUUGGGAGAGGGGUCCGGCCUGCAGUCAGCGGGAAGAGGGUGCCCCGGCUCUGAAGCUCCAGCUCCCAGUGACUCAGAGGCCAUCCCUGCCACAGCAAGCCAAGGAUGAGGUUCCCGGCAGUGAGCGGGCGGCAGCGUCUCCUCACUUCCCCCAUGGACCCAGCAGGACAGCACCUGGGCCCUACACUCAACCCGCCUCUCCUCACGUCGCCCACAUGGACGCAGCAGGACAGGACCCAGGCCCUGUGCCCAGGCGGGCUCUCACCUCCCUCACGGACGCAGCAGGACAGGACCCGGCCCUGCACCCGACCCUCCUCUCCUUACCUCCCUCAUGGACGCAUCGCCUGCCUGAUGACCUGGGGGUCUGACGUCCCCAGACGCCUGAAACAACAGCCGUGGUGUGUGCUGUGCAGGUGUCCUGGUGCCGAGAUGCACCCAUCAAAACCUCCCUCACCCAGCAGGGUCCUAACUGCCCCUGUUCACGGCCCUCACAGGCAGAACAGUUCCUAAAGGCUUCCUGAAGCCGUCUGUCCCGGUUCGAAAACACCCUCCGUGAAUUGCCCUCCUGUGCCUCUCGGAGGUGGGGCUUUUAGAAAUGGACGAGGCCGUGGGAGCUGCCGCCUUCGGGGCCUGGUGCGGGGGCGAGGACACAGCGGCCACUGCAUGCGUUCAGAGCCAUGAACUCCGUUGCGGGAACGACACCUCCCUCCCUCCCUCAGGUAUUUAGGAAAGAAAUGACCGUCAGAAUAAUUAGCCUUUAAAGGCAACGUGCUAGAAGGUUCCAGGGUCCCUAUCACCCGGGGAAAGGAGUGAUUCCCCUCCCCAGUCUGCAGGGGGGCAGCCACGUGGCUGCUGUCAGUACAGAAGGCUCAGGAACAGGAGGGAGGAGGAGGCCGAAGCCCCCAGUGCCGUUCUUCCCAAAGCACCGCCCUCCACCCUGAUUCCGUGUUCUCUUCCGGACGCCACCCGUCCUGGGGUCUUUCUCCCACGCUCCAGCCUCUGCCAGGCCGGCUGCUGGCUCCACGCUUUCUUGCUCUGGGAACGGGCUGUGCACCAGCCUCCCAAGACAACCAAGGCUCCAGGUGCCCCUGCUGCUCCUCGGGGUGUCUGUGAAGCAGGCAGGCGGCCAGGCAUGGGCGGGUGGGGCCUCCCUGUGGGCUGGGAAGCUGCAGGCAUCCACGGGCUUGGGACGCCGGGGACUGAGGGCAGCCUGAGAGCCGG